RNAcentral lists this ribosomal RNA (811 nucleotides) under Streptomyces californicus. RNAcentral's name for it is "bacterial SSU rRNA". It matches the Rfam family "Bacterial small subunit ribosomal RNA", at positions 63 to 889 of the family's 1533-position model. The record is from RNAcentral. Lineage: Bacteria; Bacillati; Actinomycetota; Actinomycetes; Kitasatosporales; Streptomycetaceae.
CGAACGAUGAAGCCUUUCGGGGUGGAUUAGUGGCGAACGGGUGAGUAACACGUGGGCAAUCUGCCCUUCACUCUGGGACAAGCCCUGGAAACGGGGUCUAAUACCGGAUAACACUCUGUCCUGCAUGGGACGGGGUUGAAAGCUCCGGCGGUGAAGGAUGAGCCCGCGGCCUAUCAGCUUGUUGGUGGGGUAAUGGCCUACCAAGGCGACGACGGGUAGCCGGCCUGAGAGGGCGACCGGCCACACUGGGACUGAGACACGGCCCAGACUCCUACGGGAGGCAGCAGUGGGGAAUAUUGCACAAUGGGCGAAAGCCUGAUGCAGCGACGCCGCGUGAGGGAUGACGGCCUUCGGGUUGUAAACCUCUUUCAGCAGGGAAGAAGCGCAAGUGACGGUACCUGCAGAAGAAGCGCCGGCUAACUACGUGCCAGCAGCCGCGGUAAUACGUAGGGCGCAAGCGUUGUCCGGAAUUAUUGGGCGUAAAGAGCUCGUAGGCGGCUUGUCACGUCGGAUGUGAAAGCCCGGGGCUUAACCCCGGGUCUGCAUUCGAUACGGGCUAGCUAGAGUGUGGUAGGGGAGAUCGGAAUUCCUGGUGUAGCGGUGAAAUGCGCAGAUAUCAGGAGGAACACCGGUGGCGAAGGCGGAUCUCUGGGCCAUUACUGACGCUGAGGAGCGAAAGCGUGGGGAGCGAACAGGAUUAGAUACCCUGGUAGUCCACGCCGUAAACGUUGGGAACUAGGUGUUGGCGACAUUCCACGUCGUCGGUGCCGCAGCUAACGCAUUAAGUUCCCCGCCUGGGGAGUACGGCCGC